Molecule: ribosomal RNA, 284 nt
Filed under: uncultured bacterium
Lineage: Bacteria
Description: partial 16S ribosomal RNA
Rfam family: Bacterial small subunit ribosomal RNA
Source: RNAcentral
GAGGAAACUUGUGCUAAUACCGGAUAAGUCUUUACAGAGAAAGCUUUAUGCACCAUUGGAUGAGCCUGCACUUGAUUAGUUUGUUGGUGGGGUAAUGGCCUACCAAGACUGUGAUCAAUAGCUGAUUUGAGAGGAUGAUCAGCCACAUUGGGACUGAGACACGGCCCAAACUCCUACGGGAGGCAGCAGUGGGGAAUCUUGCACAAUGGAGGAAACUCUGAUGCAGCGAUGCCGCGUGAGUGAAGAAGGCCUUUGGGUUGUAAAGCUCUUUCGUCGUUUAAGAA